Molecule: ribosomal RNA, 704 nt
Filed under: uncultured archaeon
Lineage: Archaea
Description: bacterial SSU rRNA
Rfam family: Archaeal small subunit ribosomal RNA
Source: RNAcentral
GAUAUUAGGCUAUGCCUGGAAUGGUUUGCCUUUGAAAUGUUUUUUCGCCUAAGGAUAGGUCUGCGGCUGAUUAGGUCGUUGGUGGGGUAAUGGCCCACCAAGCCGAUGAUCGGUACGGGUUGUGAGAGCAAGGGCCCGGAGAUGGAACCUGAGACAAGGUUCCAGACCCUACGGGGUGCAGCAGGCGCGAAACCUCCGCAAUGUACGAAAGUGCGACAGGGGGAUCCCAAGUGUUAUGCUUUUUUGUAUGACUUUUCAUUAGUGUAAAAAGCUUUUAGAAUAAGAGCUGGGCAAGACCGGUGCCAGCCGCCGCGGUAACACCGGCAGCUCGAGUGGUAGCUGUUUUUAUUGGGCCUAAAGCGUUCGUAGCCGGUUUGAUAAGUCUUUGGUGAAAGCUUGUAGCUUAACUAUAAGAAUUGCUGGAGAUACUAUUAGACUUGAAGUCGGGAGAGGUUAGAGGUACUACCGGGGUAGGGGUGAAAUCCUAUAAUCCUGGGAGGACCACCUGUGGCGAAGGCGUCUAACUGGAACGAUCUUGACGGUGAGUAACGAAAGCCAGGGGCGCGAACCGGAUUAGAUACCCGGGUAGUCCUGGCCGUAAACGAUGUGGACUUGGUGUUGGAAUGGCUUUGAGUUGUUCCGGUGCCGAAGGGAAGCUGUUAAGUCCACCGCCUGGGAAGUACGGUCGCAAGACUGAAACUUAA